This 484-nucleotide ribosomal RNA is filed under the name uncultured bacterium. Its description in RNAcentral is "partial 16S ribosomal RNA". It matches the Rfam family "Bacterial small subunit ribosomal RNA", at positions 30 to 507 of the family's 1533-position model. The record is from RNAcentral.
AUUGAACGCUGGCGGCAGGCCUAACACAUGCAAGUCGAGCGGAUGAAGGGAGCUUGCUUCUGGAUUCAGCGGCGGACGGGUGAGUAAUGCCUAAGAAUCUGCCUGGUAGUGGGGGAUAACGUCCGGAAACGGGCGCUAAUACCGUAUACGCCCUGAGGGAGAAAGUGUGGGAUCUUCGGACCUCAUGCUAUCAGAUGAGCCUAGGUCGGAUUAGAUAGUUGGUGGGGUAAAGGCCUACCAAGGCGACGAUCCGUAACUGGUCUGAGAGGAUGAUCAGUCACACUAGAACUGAGACACGGUCCAGACUCCUACGGGAGGCAGCAGUGGGGAAUAUUGGACAAUGGGCGAAAGCAUGAUCCAGCCAUGCCGCGUGUGUGAAGAAGGUCUUCGGCUUGUAAAGCACUUUUAGUUGGAAAGAAGAGCAGUAAGUUAAUACCUUGCUGUUUUGACGGUACCAACAGAAUAAGCACCGGCUAACUUCGUG